UACAGAGGUGGCAAGCGUUGUUCGGAAUUACUGGGCGUAAAGGGCGCGUAGGCGGCCCACUAAGUCAGAUGUGAAAUCCCCGGGCUCAACCUGGGAACUGCAUUUGUGACUGCAUCGCUGGAGUGCGGCAGAGGGGGAUGGAAUUCCGCGUGUAGCAGUGAAAUGCGUAGAUAUCGGGAGGAACAUCAGUGGCGAAGGCGGCCUUCUGGUCCAGUACUGACACUCAAGUGCGAAAGCGUGGGGAGCAAACAGG
RNAcentral lists this ribosomal RNA (253 nucleotides) under uncultured bacterium. Its description in RNAcentral is "partial 16S ribosomal RNA". It matches the Rfam family "Bacterial small subunit ribosomal RNA", at positions 524 to 776 of the family's 1533-position model. The record is from RNAcentral.